AUACCUACCUGGCCAGGGAGAUACCAUGCUGAUGAAGGUGCUUUUCCCAGUGCGAGGCUCAUCCAUUGCACUCCGGAUGUGCUGACUCUUGCAAUUUACCCAAAUGUAGGAAACUCGACUUCAUAAUUUGUGGUAGUGGGAGACUGCAUCUGCACUUUUCCU
Molecule: small nuclear RNA, 162 nt
Organism: Sorex araneus (European shrew)
Lineage: Eukaryota; Metazoa; Chordata; Mammalia; Eulipotyphla; Soricidae
Gene: U1
Rfam family: U1 spliceosomal RNA
About the family: U1 is a small nuclear RNA (snRNA) component of the spliceosome (involved in pre-mRNA splicing). Its 5' end forms complementary base pairs with the 5' splice junction, thus defining the 5' donor site of an intron.
Source: Ensembl